GUGGGGAAUAUUGGUCAAUGGAGGAAACUCUGAACCAGCAACGCCGCGUGAAUGAUGAAGGUCUUCGGAUUGUAAAGUUCUUUUCUAAGGGAAGAAGAAAGUGACGGUACCUUAGGAAUAAGCCUCGGCUAACUACGUGCCAGCAGCCGCGGUAAUACGUAGGAGGCAAGCGUUAUCCGGAAUGACUGGGCGUAAAGGGUGCGUAGGUGGUUUGGCAAGUUAGUAGCGUAACCCCGGGGCUCAACCUCGGAACUACUACUAAAACUGUCGGACUUGAGUGCAGGAGGGGCAAUUGGAAUUCCUAGUGUAGCGGUGGAAUGCGUAGAUAUUAGGAGGAACACCAGUGGCGAAGGCGAAUUGCUGGACUGUAACUGACACUGAGGCACGAAAGCGUGGGGAGCAAACAGG
This 408-nucleotide ribosomal RNA is filed under the name uncultured bacterium. RNAcentral's name for it is "bacterial SSU rRNA". It matches the Rfam family "Bacterial small subunit ribosomal RNA", at positions 354 to 776 of the family's 1533-position model. The record is from RNAcentral.